GAAAAGAGCAAUCUGCUAAUAGAUGGGCUUGCGUCUGAUUAGCUAGUUGGUGUGGUAAAGGCAUACCAAGGCAACGAUCAGUAGCCGGACUGAGAGGUUGAACGGCCACAUUGGGACUGAGAUACGGCCCAGACUCCUACGGGAGGCAGCAGUCGGGAAUAUUGCGCAAUGGGGGCAACCCUGACGCAGCAACGCCGCGUGAUUGAAGAAGGUCUUCGGAUUGUAAAAUCUUUAAUCAGGGACGAAGAAAAUGACGGUACCUGAAGAAUAAGCUCCGGCUAACUAC
This 286-nucleotide ribosomal RNA is filed under the name uncultured bacterium. RNAcentral's name for it is "partial 16S ribosomal RNA". It matches the Rfam family "Bacterial small subunit ribosomal RNA", at positions 202 to 504 of the family's 1533-position model. The record is from RNAcentral.